UACGUAGGAGGCGAGCGUUGUCCGGAGUUACUGGGCGUAAAGGGUGCGCAGGCGGCGGUUCGCGUGGCGAGAUGAAAUCUCCUGGCUUACCUGGGAGGAUGGUCGCCAGACGGGAUCGCUUGAGGGUCGGAGAGGGGCGUGGAAUUCCGGGUGGAGCGGUGAAAUGCGUAGAUAUCGGGAGGAACACCAGUGGCGAAGGCGACUACCUGGCCUGUUCUUGACGCUGAGGCGCGAAAGCUAGGGGAGCAAACGGG
RNAcentral lists this ribosomal RNA (254 nucleotides) under uncultured bacterium. RNAcentral describes it as "partial 16S ribosomal RNA". It matches the Rfam family "Bacterial small subunit ribosomal RNA", at positions 524 to 776 of the family's 1533-position model. The record is from RNAcentral.